Molecule: long non-coding RNA, 2259 nt
Filed under: Phasianus colchicus (ring-necked pheasant)
Lineage: Eukaryota; Metazoa; Chordata; Aves; Galliformes; Phasianidae
Description: lncRNA (ENSPCLG00000008923.1)
Source: RNAcentral
AAAAAAAAAACAGAACUGAAUGCCAGACAGCUUCAGCUGUUACAAAUGGAAAUUUACUUUGCCCAUCUGAAACAUUUUCACAUGUUUCAGUUCCUUCUUUUCAUCAGAUUCACACAAAGCAGUUGACUCUUCAUGGAAGGGAGAUUUAUAAUGGAUUCAAGCUUAAUAAUGUCAAAGCACAGCAGUUAAGAGGAGGGGGUAAACCUGAUGAAAAUGAAUGAAAAUGAUAUCUUAUAAAAUCAUACAGUCUGUGACUUCCAUAAAAGCCUGAAUGAAAGCAGUAAGAAAGCUCCCAGGAACCUGCAGUCUUCUCCAUCUACUGCAAAACUCCAUCUGGUAUCAACUUUUCAAGAGGCUCAGCCUCAGCAACUUCGUAUUUAUAGAGCAUUGUCAGCUGUGAUGACAGUGAUCCACCCUGCAGUCACAUGUGAGUCAAGAUUUUAUUUUUUUUAAAGAAUAGUAAUUAUGAAUGUUUCUUUGGAUGCUUUAAUUUAGUAUUUUUUCUUACAGCCCUGGCUCUCAAAAGUUAACUGUUCACCCUCUGGUAGACAGACCUGUUUAGGGCUUCACAAAAUCAAAAAGUAUAAUUUUAUCUGUCAUUGUGGAAGACCUUGAUUUAUUCCAUAACUGUGUUGCAAAAGGAGCAAUAGCUAUAAUCAUUAUAAUAAUGCCAUUGAUUCAAAUAUAAGUAAACACUGAAUUAUUUAUUUAUCUAUAUAUGGGAUGGAGAGAUCUGGGAAAAUUUAUGCUGACAAAAUAAGCAUGUGAUGAGAAAUUAAUCUAAAUAGGGGAGUGUUUAAAAGUAAUUCCAGCAGCUUCUUCUUAAAGUCUGGUUAAAGUCUGUGUUGAGAAUGUAUGUGUGAGUCAAAUCUUCUAAUUCCUCAUAGGCAAGCAAUACACUUUUUUGGCAACCAAGGAACACAAACCUUAUAAGUUUACUAACAGAAAUGUACCAUGGUAUCCAGCACUAGUAGCAUACUGCAUUAAACAAAGAUGGUCUCGUGGACAUAACUAUUGACAAAACCCUAAGAACUCACUCACUGUUAGUUGUUUUUCUUUCUCUUAAAAUAAGUUACUGGAGUUCUUAAAGAUCUCUAUUCCACUUCUAUUCUGAAAAUUCUUAUUCUUCCAGGUUUGUCCUGGUUCCCCCUGCCCAACUUAUCUAUAUCAUCCUCCCAUGCAAUUUUAUGAAUCUUGAAAUGAAGAAUGGUCCACUGAAGAAUUAAAUUAGUUAAGGAUAGAAUUACUUAAUUAUUUCAGAACUUGGAUAUAAAGGUAUGAAUAUACUUAGCAAAAUUAUUCUGUGCUAUACACUGCAUAGGCAAGGAACUUGAUCUAAGGCAGUAUUUGUCAAAUAUGGCAUAGGUAGUCGUCACCAAGUAUUCUUAACCUUUGAAACUUGUGUUUGUGUUGGAAGGAAACAUAAUGAUGUAUCUAUAUCUUUGAACAGAGAUCCUUUUGAUAAUUGUAAAUUAUUUGUGAUAAGAUUAUUUCCAGAUCUACUGUGUGAUAUUAAGUUGAGAACAAAAGUAUGAACUGCUGCUAAAGGCCAAGAACUUCAGAUUAUCUCAGUACUGUUUAACAAUUCACUACCUGGCCUUAAAACCAAGCUUUUCAAUGAUAAUUUUUUCAGAAACAUGAUGAUAUAAACUGCCAUUCAAGUAAAUUUUCCCCGUGGGAUAAACUGAUCAGAUUGUAUCAAAAUUCGAAACUUUUCUAUUGAAUUUUGUAGAAUUUAAGAAAUGAUUAUGCAUGAUAUUUCUGUAGGAUUACGUUGGCUCUCUUGAAUUUGUUGAACUUAUUAGAAGUUCAAGAGCCUUUCAGUCCCGUGGCAAAAAGCUGUGAUCUGUAGCCAUAACAAAUAUAAGAUGAAAGAAGCAAAAUUUCAUUUCUUUCCUUUAGAAAGAAACACAGAGUCAAGCAGAAUAUUACAAUAACAUGAGAUCAGACUUUGACACAGAAAAACCUCACAAAAAAAAAAAAAAACCCACUAUGGCUAUAAGUGAAAACCCUUAAAAAUCAUUAAAAGGGGUAAUAUUUAUUCCAGGGAAAAAUAUUUUUUCCUAUUAAAAACAGGAAAGUACCAGUUAACUACCAAAGCGUGGUAUUUGUUCUUUAGCAUGUCUUUCCCCCUCUGGAAAGAAUAAUGAUAGAAGAUUUAAGUGCAAAGUAGAUAUCACCCAUUAUAUGAAUGUCUGGAAAGUGAUCACUACAUUUUAAGUUAAUAAAUAAGAAAAUCAUUCUUAAAAUAUGAGUGGU